UCAACCCAAAAGCCAAUUAACAUACUUACAAAAAGAAAAAUUUGGGCAAUCUAAAAAUUCUCACACGCAAAUAGGUCUCGGAAUUUUAUUUAGCACACAAUUGAUGGGUUCAUCUCUCUUAUUUUAACGGGUUAAUUGUUCAAAUUGACUCUGUAAUAUACCUUAUGUCUGAAAAAUGACCCUUAAAAAUACAAAACAUAUAUUCUAGCAUUGUGACUUGAAUUUCUUCUUAUUUUUGACCACCC
RNAcentral lists this long non-coding RNA (245 nucleotides) under Medicago truncatula (barrel medic). RNAcentral describes it as "long non-coding RNA (MTRU_LNC005886)". Lineage: Eukaryota; Viridiplantae; Streptophyta; Magnoliopsida; Fabales; Fabaceae. The record is from RNAcentral.